RNAcentral lists this ribosomal RNA (253 nucleotides) under uncultured Parabacteroides sp. RNAcentral's name for it is "partial 16S ribosomal RNA". It matches the Rfam family "Bacterial small subunit ribosomal RNA", at positions 524 to 776 of the family's 1533-position model. Lineage: Bacteria; Pseudomonadati; Bacteroidota; Bacteroidia; Bacteroidales; Tannerellaceae. The record is from RNAcentral.
UACGUAGGUGGCAAGCGUUAUCCGGAUUUACUGGGUGUAAAGGGCGUGUAGGCGGCCUUUUAAGUCAGCGGUGAAAGUCUGUGGCUCAACCAUAGAAUUGCCGUUGAAACUGGGGGGCUUGAGUAUGUUUGAGGCAGGCGGAAUGCGUGGUGUAGCGGUGAAAUGCAUAGAUAUCACGCAGAACCCCGAUUGCGAAGGCAGCAUACCGGCGCCCGACUGACGCUGAGGCACGAAAGUGCGGGUAUCGAACAGG